This 495-nucleotide ribosomal RNA is filed under the name uncultured bacterium. RNAcentral describes it as "bacterial SSU rRNA". It matches the Rfam family "Bacterial small subunit ribosomal RNA", at positions 28 to 529 of the family's 1533-position model. The record is from RNAcentral.
GAUGAACGCUAGCGGCGGGCUUAAUACAUGCAAGUCAAGGGGGUAGCAAUACAACCGGCGCACGGGUGAGUAACGCGUACACAACAUACCAUAUACUGGGGUAUAGCUUUGGGAAACUGAAGGUAAUCCCCCAUAACAUUGCGAGAGGGCAUCUGAUUGCAAUUAAAGUUUCGGCGGUAUAUGAUUGGUGUGCGUUUGAUUAGCUAGUUGGUAGGGUAACGGCCUACCAAGGCGACGAUCAAUAGCUGGCGUGAGAGCGCGACCAGCCACACUGGAACUGAGACACGGUCCAGACUCCUACGGGAGGCAGCAGUAGGGAAUAUUGGACAAUGGAGGAAACUCUGAUCCAGCCAUGCCGCGUGAUAGAUGAAGGCCCUCUGGGUUGUAAACUGCUUUUGUACGGAACGAAACGGUGAGCUCUAAUAAAGCUUGCUAAUGACGGUACCGUAAGAAUAAGCACCGGCUAACUACGUGCCAGCAGCCGCGGUAAUCAUA